Molecule: ribosomal RNA, 464 nt
Filed under: Vreelandella stevensii
Lineage: Bacteria; Pseudomonadati; Pseudomonadota; Gammaproteobacteria; Oceanospirillales; Halomonadaceae
Description: partial 16S ribosomal RNA
Rfam family: Bacterial small subunit ribosomal RNA
Source: RNAcentral
CCUACGGGUGCAGCAGUGGGGAAUAUUGGACAAUGGGCGAAAGCCUGAUCCAGCCAUGCCGCGUGUGUGAAGAAGGCCUUCGGGUUGUAAAGCACUUUCAGUGGGGAAGAAAGCCUUGGGGCUAAUACCCUCGAGGAAGGACAUCACCCACAGAAGAAGCACCGGCUAACUCCGUGCCAGCAGCCGCGGUAAUACGGAGGGUGCGAGCGUUAAUCGGAAUUACUGGGCGUAAAGCGCGCGUAGGCGGUCUGAUAAGCCGGUUGUGAAAGCCCCGGGCUCAACCUGGGAACGGCAUCCGGAACUGUCAGGCUAGAGUGCAGGAGAGGAAGGUAGAAUUCCCGGUGUAGCGGUGAAAUGCGUAGAGAUCGGGAGGAAUACCAGUGGCGAAGGCGGCCUUCUGGACUGACACUGACGCUGAGGUGCGAAAGCGUGGGUAGCAAACAGGAUUAGAUACCCCGGUAGUC